AUGAUUAAGAAUAAUGUUAAUUAUAACCAUUUGAGACCUUAGCAUUUAUCCAAGAGCAAGAGAAUCGGUUAUUGGGUGUAGAAACACCACUAAUAGGGAUUAUGAAGCUUUAUACUCACCAAGUGUUCGAUAAAAUGCCUAAGUGACCAAAACAUGGAUAUUGUUGCUAAUUUGGAAUCAUUUUGAAUUGUAUUGAUAUAAAUUAAAGUUGAAAGGGUUGGCGAAUAUUGUAUUAUGCCCAAGAGAUGAAAGUUAAGGUAUGUGAGGCUAACUCUCUAUGUUUGGGAAUGUUAAUGAUUCUCCCUACACUAUGUUUCUUUUAUGACGUUACUAAUUGCCUUAGAAAUACAGUUAAGCCUAGU
RNAcentral lists this long non-coding RNA (362 nucleotides) under Nicotiana benthamiana. RNAcentral describes it as "long non-coding RNA (NBEN_LNC033238)". Lineage: Eukaryota; Viridiplantae; Streptophyta; Magnoliopsida; Solanales; Solanaceae. The record is from RNAcentral.